Molecule: ribosomal RNA, 321 nt
Filed under: Triticum aestivum (bread wheat)
Lineage: Eukaryota; Viridiplantae; Streptophyta; Magnoliopsida; Poales; Poaceae
Description: partial small subunit ribosomal RNA
Source: RNAcentral
AUGUCACAAUACUUACUUACUAGUACAUUCAGCACACUACUAUCAUACUACAAUAUUUCCUGCAACCGAACACAUUUACUUGGACUCUCUCUUGAUUAUCUCAGACUCCCAAAGGGCGAGCUCCGCCUCCCUUGCAAAGACCUCCUUGUGCCUCUGCUCCUCAAGAAACGCAUUUGCGUCCGCCGUUGCCUUCUUCUGCUGGAUGCACCGGACCAAGCAAUCCUCCAGAUCUUUGCCCAAUUUGUCCAGCUUUGCGGUGACAAGGUUACAGGCGGCCAAUUGGCAAUCGGCCUCCCAGCGGUCCUUGGCGACCUGCGCUAG